This 1158-nucleotide ribosomal RNA is filed under the name Staphylococcus aureus. RNAcentral describes it as "bacterial SSU rRNA". It matches the Rfam family "Bacterial small subunit ribosomal RNA", at positions 173 to 1533 of the family's 1533-position model. Lineage: Bacteria; Bacillati; Bacillota; Bacilli; Caryophanales; Staphylococcaceae. The record is from RNAcentral.
AUAUUUUGAACCGCAUGGUUCAAAAGUGAAAGACGGUCUUGCUGUCACUUAUAGAUGGAUCCGCGCUGCAUUAGCUAGUUGGUAAGGUAACGGCUUACCAAGGCAACGAUGCAUAGCCGACCUGAGAGGGUGAUCGGCCACACUGGAACUGAGACACGGUCCAGACUCCUACGGGAGGCAGCAGUAGGGAAUCUUCCGCAAUGGGCGAAAGCCUGACGGAGCAACGCCGCGUGAGUGAUGAAGGUCUUCGGAUCGUAAAACUCUGUUAUUAGGGAAGAACAUAUGUGUAAGUAACUGUGCACAUCUUGACGGUACCUAAUCAGAAAGCCACGGCUAACUACGUGCCAGCAGCCGCGGUAAUACGUAGGUGGCAAGCGUUAUCCGGAAUUAUUGGGCGUAAAGCGCGCGUAGGCGGUUUUUUAAGUCUGAUGUGAAAGCCCACGGCUCAACCGUGGAGGGUCAUUGGAAACUGGAAAACUUGAGUGCAGAAGAGGAAAGUGGAAUUCCAUGUGUAGCGGUGAAAUGCGCAGAGAUAUGGAGGAACACCAGUGGCGAAGGCGACUUUCUGGUCUGUAACUGACGCUGAUGUGCGAAAGCGUGGGGAUCAAACAGGAUUAGAUACCCUGGUAGUCCACGCCGUAAACGAUGAGUGCUAAGUGUUAGGGGGUUUCCGCCCCUUAGUGCUGCAGCUAACGCAUUAAGCACUCCGCCUGGGGAGUACGACCGCAAGGUUGAAACUCAAAGGAAUUGACGGGGACCCGCACAAGCGGUGGAGCAUGUGGUUUAAUUCGAAGCAACGCGAAGAACCUUACCAAAUCUUGACAUCCUUUGACAACUCUAGAGAUAGAGCCUUCCCCUUCGGGGGACAAAGUGACAGGUGGUGCAUGGUUGUCGUCAGCUCGUGUCGUGAGAUGUUGGGUUAAGUCCCGCAACGAGCGCAACCCUUAAGCUUAGUUGCCAUCAUUAAGUUGGGCACUCUAAGUUGGUGAAUACGUUCCCGGGUCUUGUACACACCGCCCGUCACACCACGAGAGUUUGUAACACCCGAAGCCGGUGGAGUAACCUUUUAGGAGCUAGCCGUCGAAGGUGGGACAAAUGAUUGGGGUGAAGUCGUAACAAGGUAGCCGUAUCGGAAGGUGCGGCUGGAUCACCUCCUUU